UAUAGGACAAUGGGGGCAACACCGAGCUACCCAUACGGCGUGUGUGUAGAAGGUCUCCGGAUUGUAUAGCACUUUAAGAGGGGAGAAAAGGCUUUAUGUGAUUACACUGUAGUUUUGACGCGACCCACAGAAUAAGCACCCGUGCACUCUGUGCCAGCAGCCGCGGUAAUACAGAGGGUGCAAGCGUUAACCGGAAUUACUGGGCGUAAAGCGCGCGUAGGUGGUUCAGUAAGAUGGGUGUGAAAUCCCCGGGCUUAACCUGGGAACUGCUUUCAUAACUGCUGAGCUAGAGUACGGUAGAGGGUAGUGGAAUUUCCUGUGUAGCGGUGAAAUGCGUAGAUAUAGGAAGGAACACCAGUGGCGAAGGCGACUACCUGGACUGAUACUGACACUGAGGUGCGAAAGCGUGGGGAGCAAACAG
This 421-nucleotide ribosomal RNA is filed under the name uncultured bacterium. Its description in RNAcentral is "partial 16S ribosomal RNA". It matches the Rfam family "Bacterial small subunit ribosomal RNA", at positions 362 to 775 of the family's 1533-position model. The record is from RNAcentral.